AACUAACAGGCUUCUGCGACACUUCAAAGCAAACUCAGAAUCCACCUUCUAUCUCCAAUACACAAUCCAAACUUCCAAAAUGAACCUGCAUAAUACACACAAAAAUAGCCAUUUUUAUUACAACCCUGUUUUGUUUUCCAGCACAUCACAGCAGUCCAUGUUUUGGUUACAAAAGCCAUAGUAGAAAUUGAAAAGAACAUAACAGGAUUCA
This 211-nucleotide long non-coding RNA is filed under the name Lathyrus oleraceus (garden pea). RNAcentral describes it as "Pisum sativum (pea) long non-coding RNA (PSAT_LNC014560)". The record is from RNAcentral. Lineage: Eukaryota; Viridiplantae; Streptophyta; Magnoliopsida; Fabales; Fabaceae.